CUUGAGGUCAUGAGUUUGAGACCAGCCUGGCCAACAUGAUGAAGCCUGAGAAAAUGAUGAGCAGAUAAAGAGGCACCAAAACUUGGGAGGCAAGUUGAUCCAUCUCCAGUAAAGACUGAGGAAAAGAGCAAGCAAAGACUGAGGAAAAGAAAGACAAAUACUUCCUCUGCUCUCAGACCUUCUUUCUUUGAAGGCCACCCCUUUUUGAAGUUUGGAGUUUGAAACACAACCUGGACUGAAGUCAUGAGGGAGGCUGUGUAAGAAAGAAUCAUCAAGGGAAUUAGUUGGGAACUUCUCUGCCACAGCUUGCUUCUUAUGGUAUUAACCCCCUUUCAGUGUAAAUGCCUUUGGUUUAAAACGUUUGUACCUCAUCUGAUACCAGAGUGUUCAUACUGGAGAGAAACCCUAUGAAUUUUCUGAACGUGGGGGAUCUUUUACUCACAUGUCACAUCUCAUUGAACGUAGAAGUCAUGCUGAAGAGAAACCCUGUGCUUCUAAGGAAUAUUGACAAGCCCUUAGCUAGAUGACAAAUCUCAUUGAGAAGCAGAAGAUUCAUGCUGGUGAGAAACCAGUGAAGGUGAAAGUAGCAAUGCUUCAUUGAAUAUUAGAAAAUUUUUCUGGAGAGAGAGCAUUGAAUGUACUGAGUAUGAUAAAAACUUCCUCUCAAACCUUAUCCCUUGAUAUGCAUUUGGGUGAUCAUACACAGAGAAGCCUU
Sapajus apella (tufted capuchin) is the source of this 715-nucleotide long non-coding RNA. RefSeq lists it as uncharacterized. The transcript has 3 exons. The record is from RefSeq and is a predicted model, not a curated record. Lineage: Eukaryota; Metazoa; Chordata; Mammalia; Primates; Cebidae.